RNAcentral lists this ribosomal RNA (90 nucleotides) under uncultured Synechococcus sp. Its description in RNAcentral is "partial 23S ribosomal RNA". Lineage: Bacteria; Bacillati; Cyanobacteriota; Cyanophyceae; Synechococcales; Synechococcaceae. The record is from RNAcentral.
GUCAGCUACAAGGCUCACGGCGAUACUUGGCACAAGCAUGGAAGGACCUGUAACUGCAUAGUCUCGGGACUGAAACAGCUUGAUCGAAUC